This is a long non-coding RNA of Dalotia coriaria, 797 nucleotides long. RefSeq lists it as uncharacterized. NCBI's taxonomy places the organism in Eukaryota, Metazoa, Arthropoda, Insecta, Coleoptera, Staphylinidae. The transcript is spliced from 2 exons. The record is from RefSeq and is a predicted model, not a curated record.
CAUAAAUAUUCAUCAUUUCUCAUUUGAAAGUCAUCAAAAUGACUAGUUUCAUCAUAAUAUUCAGUUGUUUAGCAGCAAUUGCCAGUGCUAAUCCAUACCUAAAAAAACCGUAUGCAAUCAAACAUGCACUCAAAGAAUGUAAACAUGAACUUGACAUCGACGUACCAAAAGGAGAAAAGAAGUUAAGCAUAUCAGGACCGUUAAAUCUUCCAAUAUUUGACCCAAAAUACGCAUGUUUAAACAAAUGUACCCUGGAGAAAGCAGGAUUGUUAUCCACAAUAGGUGCAUUUAACAUAACCUCAAUUCCUAAAGUAUUUGAACCAAUUGGUAAACAAUGUGAUGAAAUAACUAAGAAUUUAACCAAUUGUGAGCGUGCACAUAACCUAACAAUAUGUUUGAUUGAAAAAUCAAGAGAAAUGUUGAAUGAAACAGUGAUUUCGUGCGCAAAUCAAACAGAAACACAGUUAAACGUUGAAAAAACAUACAAAUUGAAGGAUUUCCUCAAGGAGAAGAAGUACUACUGCAUGAAUAGAUGUGUUUUGAUUAAAUUAAACGCUGUGGAUGAAUCUAAUGAUGUCAAAGUUGAUAUGGUCAAAGAAUUCGCUCCACCAAACGCAAAUAUACCAGAAAUCAUCGAGGAAUGUUCAGAGGAUAAUAAAAGUUCAAACCAAUGCAAAAUGGUGGCCAAACGUCAACGGUGCAUUAUAAAAAAGAUCAAGAAAUUAGAUUAACCUCAAAAUUUUUAUGUUUUUAGUGUUGAUUUCACUAUUAGUAUAGAAAUAAACGUGUUACAGGAA